RNAcentral lists this ribosomal RNA (274 nucleotides) under uncultured bacterium. RNAcentral describes it as "partial 16S ribosomal RNA". It matches the Rfam family "Bacterial small subunit ribosomal RNA", at positions 523 to 796 of the family's 1533-position model. The record is from RNAcentral.
AUACGGAGGGUGCAAGCGUUACUCGGAAUCACUGGGCGUAAAGCGCGCGCAGGCGGCUAUUUAAGUUGGAUGUGAAAGCCUACGGCUCAACCGUAGAACUGCAUCCAAAACUAUUUAGCUAGAGUGUGGGAGAGGAAGAUGGAAUUAGUUGUGUAGGGGUAAAAUCCGUAGAGAUAACUAGGAAUACCAAAAGCGAAGGCAAUCUUCUGGAACACUACUGACGCUGAGGCGCGAAAGCCUGGGGAGCAAACAGGAUUAGAAACCCUAGUAGUCC